CAGCAGCCGCGGUAAUACGUAGGGUGCGAGCGUUAAUCGGAAUUACUGGGCGUAAAGGGCUCGCAGGCGGUUUCUUAAGUCUGAUGCGAAAGCCCCCGGCUCAACCGGGGAGGGUCAUUGGAAACUGGGAAACUUGAGUGCAGAAGAGGAGAGUGGAAUUCCACAUGCAGCGGUGAAAUGCGUAGAGAUGUGGAGGAACACCAGUGGCGAAGGCGACUCUCUGGUCUGUAACUGACGCUGAGGAGCGAAAGCGUGAGGAGCGAACAGGAUUAGAUACCCCCGUAGUCCCUGUCUCUUAUAC
This 301-nucleotide ribosomal RNA is filed under the name uncultured bacterium. RNAcentral describes it as "partial 16S ribosomal RNA". It matches the Rfam family "Bacterial small subunit ribosomal RNA", at positions 509 to 807 of the family's 1533-position model. The record is from RNAcentral.